RNAcentral lists this transfer RNA (91 nucleotides) under Pseudomonas sp. RNAcentral's name for it is "tRNA-Ser". It matches the Rfam family "tRNA". Rfam says of the family: Transfer RNA (tRNA) molecules are approximately 80 nucleotides in length. Their secondary structure includes four short double-helical elements and three loops (D, anti-codon, and T loops). RNAcentral also lists the same sequence under 2 other names. Lineage: Bacteria; Pseudomonadati; Pseudomonadota; Gammaproteobacteria; Pseudomonadales; Pseudomonadaceae. The record is from RNAcentral.
GGAGAGGUGGCCGAGUGGCCGAAGGCGCUCCCCUGCUAAGGGAGUACAUCUCAAAAGGGUGUCGAGGGUUCGAAUCCCUCCCUCUCCGCCA